GGUGCAUGGCGGCAGCUACACAUGCAGUCGAGCGGGGUUUUCGGACCUAGCGGCGGACGGGUGAGUAAUGCGUAGGAAGCUGCCCGAUAGAGGGGGAUACCAGUUGGAAACGACUGUUAAUACCGCAUAAUGUCUACGGACCAAAGUGUGGGACCUUCGGGCCACAUGCUAUCGGAUGCGCCUACGUGGGAUUAGCUAGUUGGUGAGGUAAUGGCUCACCAAGGCGACGAUCUCUAGCUGGUUUGAGAGGAUGAUCAGCCACACUGGAACUGAGACACGGUCCAGACUCCUACGGGAGGCAGCAGUGGGGAAUAUUGGACAAUGGGCGCAAGCCUGAUCCAGCCAUGCCGCGUGUGUGAAGAAGGCCUUCGGGUUGUAAAGCACUUUCAGCGAGGAGGAAGGGGUAGUCGUUAAUAGCGGCUACUUUUGACGUUACUCGCAGAAGAAGCACCGGCUAACUCUGUGCCAGCAGCCGCGGUAAUACAGAGGGUGCAAGCGUUAAUCGGAAUUACUGGGCGUAAAGCGCACGUAGGCGGUUGGUUAAGUUGGAUGUGAAAGCCCCGGGCUCAACCUGGGAAUUGCAUUCAAAACUGGCCAACUAGAAUAUGGGAGAGGGGGGUAGAAUUCCAAGUGUAGCGGUGAAAUGCGUAGAGAUUUGGAGGAAUACCAGUGGCGAAGGCGGCCCCCUGGCACGAUACUGACGCUGAGGUGCGAAAG
Molecule: ribosomal RNA, 717 nt
Filed under: Rheinheimera sp.
Lineage: Bacteria; Pseudomonadati; Pseudomonadota; Gammaproteobacteria; Chromatiales; Chromatiaceae
Description: bacterial SSU rRNA
Rfam family: Bacterial small subunit ribosomal RNA
Source: RNAcentral